Mesocricetus auratus (golden hamster) is the source of this 1109-nucleotide long non-coding RNA. RefSeq lists it as uncharacterized. The transcript is spliced from 5 exons. Lineage: Eukaryota; Metazoa; Chordata; Mammalia; Rodentia; Cricetidae. The record is from RefSeq and is a predicted model, not a curated record.
CCAUAUCUAGGCUCCCUGGCACCGCAGGGCCUUCGCGCCUGCGCACCUUGGGCAGCCUCUGGUGCACACCAUCUUUGCCCAGGUGACCCGCCCUCCUCCUCCUCUGCUUUGUGUCCCCACCCGGCCCCCGCCGUGUUCACGCUUCUGAGCAGGCAGUGAGACGGACAGCCGUGAAAAACGCUCUCAGGCGACACCCACCCUGUGGCUCCACGCUCUAACAGCUCGUGAGAUUUCUGCAAGCCUCGUUUCUGAGACCCACUGAGCACAGAGAACCGGGAGCUCCCAGGUGGAACUGUCAGCGCCUCCAGAACAAUUGAGAACAAAGCCAGCGUGUGGCUUUCUCACCGCCGGCACAAAAAUACAACGGAUGAACAGAAGUGACUCAUGGUAGUUCUGGUUGUGGGGACAUCAGCGUGUGCCAUCCUGUGACUGUGCAGAGAGGUCACAGCUCCAAGCAAGUGCAAAACACACCAGAUUCUGCAGUUCGAGGAAUCACGGAGACUCCUGACAUAGUCCCUGGCAGAAAGACGCGGCCUGGCGAAGCAGCUCAGCCCACUUGGGAAUGUCUGGGCUUCUAGGGAGGUGAAGACAGAGGACUUUGGCUCACAGACCCAAGUGUGCCUGACUGACACCAGGGGAAUAUUCACCUUUGAUUUUCCUUGCUUGGGUACUGAGCAGCUGUGUGACAUCAGGUGCCUAUCCCACGCUAGCUGCCAGAAUGGAGUCCAGGCUGUGUUGCUCGGCUGUCAGCAGCGAGGCCCCUGUCCCUUGACGACAUGGCUUCUCAGCAGCGCCCAGGAGCCCAGGGGCAGCCCGAUGCUUGAGCACAGCGCAUUGAAGGCAGCAGCUGUUAUUUCUCUACCAAACUGAAAACCGGUUGCCUAUAGGUGAGGGGGCCCUCAGUUCCCCAUGUGCCUCUCCUACCGACACCACACAGCUUUGCAGAGAGCCUGGACUCAGAGCGAUGGCUCGGCAGUCAAGAACACGCGUCAGUUCGUUACACCCACGUGGGGCUCAUGACUCAGGGGAUCCGACGGCCUCUUUUACCCUCCGAGGGCACCAGUCACAUAUGUCAUGCAUAGAGACACAUGCAGACUAAACACUCACAU